UUAGAGUGGCAUAUAAGGGAGGCGGCGGCGGCGCAACCAACGGCCCUGGCCGAUGGUUGCUGCAUCAUGCGCGGAUUCCCCGGCGAGGCUGAGCUCUCUCUCCCUAUUUCUUCUUCAGUUGAGCCACCUCUCGAUCAGCACGAAAACCCGAGUCAACCACUUCUCCUCUUUCUCCGCUAGUCCUUGGUUCUGCAGAUCGCCGGCGACUUGUUUGCCGGAGUCGUCGGUGGAAUCACCUUGUAUGGUGCUGGUGCAUCUUGGUGUCUGUGUCCAUCCCACGGGUGCAAGCACUACAACCUGCUCUUAAAGAAGGUGUUGGUCUCUGGGAGGAAGGAGGAGACGGCGUGAGCAGCUACAUUCUCCGUCUUCCUUGCCGGUGAGACUGCGGCACAAGCGGCGGCAAUUGGAUUUCUGGGACAGCGGCAACACUAAACGGCUUUGAGUGCCUGUUCAUCAAUAUAACUGACGACUCAAGGGCAGUCAGCUCCUUACCACAAUUUUAGAUUAUUGAGUUAUGUGGCUCACUGUUGAGUGUUGAUGACCGUAAGAUCAUUUUCCGAUGUAAGUUGGUAUUUACUUCCAUAGGUUGUGAAAUAAACUGCAGUGCCAUUAUUAUCGUAAUAUCACGUGACUCCCUACAGCCUUAUGUGAAUCAGAGUAUCAUAUGCCAAAAAAGCAUUCUCUUUGUUCGUAGGAUUCUUAUCUUAAUUCUGUUCAUAAUACUAAUAUAUUCCCCUCUGUUGUGGCUAGUCACUACUAUGCAUGACCUGCUGCUAGAAGAAUAGACAAAUUUCUUUGGUCCUUUAUAUAAUAGGGGAAUCGCUAGUUAUCAUGCCACCUUAAAACUUGAAAAUUUUCCGUCACCUUUUUGGCUGCCUGUCCUUUGUUGAUAUUCGUGAGGGAUUUGGGCUUCUUUAUCUGGUUUGCUAAGCAUUUUUGUCAGCUCGUUCUGUUCAUAACUUUAUCCUUCCCUCGAUCUGCACGUUUCACACCCACAUAUAGAUUGUUUGUUAGAUAAUGAAAGCUUUUUACCCCGACAUAUAGAUAGAUAGAGAUAUAGAGAGAUCAAGGACUGUAUCAGCCACUCGACUUUGAAAAGGAGCCCGCUAUGUGUGAGGGUUGAAGUGCCUGUGGCGUCGAGCCCUCCAGCCACCAGGUUGGCACAUCCCCGUCUGUCACCAGCUGUCCUCAAGCCAUCUGUUUCCCUCGUGACAUUGGCUGUUUUGCCAAGUACUGCUAGCUGCUCACCUCAUGGUAUGAAUUCUUGAUGAUCUGAUCUACUCCUGAUGGGGAUCCAAUUACUCAAUUUUGUAUGGCAGAACAUUUUAGCUGUUGCAAAAUUACUUCCAAUUUUUGCUUAUUUAUGGGCUUUAUUCUUGCUAACUGAAGAUAUAAAGAUGAUGGAAUGUAUUUGGGAAUUUUGGUAGUACUCGUCCUGCUUUACUAAUUAUACUGUUAACAGUCUUGCAAGAAGCUUUACAAACUCAGAGAUGUCACUGACCCAAUCAGACAUGGCUAUGUAGACGUUUUGGAUGAAUGGUUCAAUGAAGAGCCUAGCCUUUUUGCAAAGAUGACCUGAACUGGGAGAGCAUAGACGCACCAUUUUCUGAACCAGCUUCUCAUGAUGAACGACCUGUCGCUAUUGACGAGGAUGAAGCUCCAUCAACAUUGUCGUCCCGGCCGGCAGCAUCAGCAGUAGAUUUAUAUUGCCCAACACCUGAUGAUCCCUAUAUGUCAUCCAAGAGAAUGAAAUUGCAUUCCUACCUUUUUGAAACAGGAACUUCUUUUCCAUAUUGAACUAUAUUGUCAUUAGGAGUAGGACACAUACUAAUGGUUUUGAAACUUUCCCUAUGCAUGAUUUGUGGUGGUUUGCUAAAUCUGGCCAUUUAGGAAUUGUAAUCUACUUUCUUCCUGUUACAGUCUGUGGCAUGUGCAGAGUUUCUUUUUCCUUC
Molecule: non-coding RNA, 1952 nt
Organism: Oryza sativa Japonica Group (Japanese rice)
Lineage: Eukaryota; Viridiplantae; Streptophyta; Magnoliopsida; Poales; Poaceae
Source: RefSeq, a predicted model, not a curated record